This 1577-nucleotide ribosomal RNA is filed under the name Acinetobacter baumannii. Its description in RNAcentral is "partial 23S ribosomal RNA". It matches the Rfam family "Bacterial large subunit ribosomal RNA", at positions 1369 to 2925 of the family's 2925-position model. Lineage: Bacteria; Pseudomonadati; Pseudomonadota; Gammaproteobacteria; Moraxellales; Moraxellaceae. The record is from RNAcentral.
UCGGGGCUGGGUGAGUCGACCCCUAAGGCGAGGCCGAAAGGCGUAGUCGAUGGGAAAAUGGUUAAUAUUCCAUUACUUCUGUGUAAUGCGAUGAGAGGACGGAGAAGGCUAAAUCAGCCUGGCGUUGGUUGUCCAGGUGAAAGGAUGUAGGCAUGUAUCUUAGGCAAAUCCGGGGUACUCUAUGCUGAGAUCUGAUAGCAAGCUGUACUUGUACAGCGAAGUGGUUGAUGCCAUGCUUCCAGGAAAAGUCUCUAAGCUUCAGUUACACAGGAAUCGUACCCGAAACCGACACAGGUGGUCAGGUCGAGUAGACCAAGGCGCUUGAGAGAACUCUGCUGAAGGAACUAGGCAAAAUGGUACCGUAACUUCGGGAGAAGGUACGCUGUUGUUGGUGAUGGAACUCGCUUCCUGAGCUGACGACAGCCGCAGAAACCAGGCCGCUGCAACUGUUUAUUAAAAACAUAGCACUCUGCAAACACGAAAGUGGACGUAUAGGGUGUGAUGCCUGCCCGGUGCUGGAAGGUUAAUUGAUGGGGUUAGCGUAAGCGAAGCUCUUGAUCGAAGCCCCAGUAAACGGCGGCCGUAACUAUAACGGUCCUAAGGUAGCGAAAUUCCUUGUCGGGUAAGUUCCGACCUGCACGAAUGGCAUAAUGAUGGCGGCGCUGUCUCCAGCAGAGGCUCAGUGAAAUCGAAAUCGCUGUGAAGAUGCAGUGUACCCGCGGCUAGACGGAAAGACCCCGUGAACCUUUACUGCAGCUUGACACUGAACUUUGACCUUACUUGUGUAGGAUAGGUGGGAGGCUUUGAAGCUGGAACGCUAGUUCCAGUGGAGCCGUCCUUGAAAUACCACCCUGGUAAUGUUGAGGUUCUAACUCUGUCCCGUGAUCCGGGACGAGGACCGUGUCUGGUGGGUAGUUUGACUGGGGCGGUCUCCUCCUAAAGAGUAACGGAGGAGUACGAAGGUGCGCUCAGCGUGGUCGGAAAUCACGCGUAGAGUAUAAAGGCAAAAGCGCGCUUAACUGCGAGACCCACAAGUCGAGCAGGUACGAAAGUAGGUCUUAGUGAUCCGGUGGUUCUGUAUGGAAGGGCCAUCGCUCAACGGAUAAAAGGUACUCUGGGGAUAACAGGCUGAUACCGCCCAAGAGUUCAUAUCGACGGCGGUGUUUGGCACCUCGAUGUCGGCUCAUCUCAUCCUGGGGCUGAAGCAGGUCCCAAGGGUAUGGCUGUUCGCCAUUUAAAGAGGUACGCGAGCUGGGUUUAGAACGUCGUGAGACAGUUCGGUCCCUAUCUACCGUGGGCGCUGGAAAUUUGAGAGGAUCUGCUCCUAGUACGAGAGGACCAGAGUGGACGAACCUCUGGUGUACCGGUUGUGACGCCAGUCGCAUCGCCGGGUAGCUAUGUUCGGAAGGGAUAACCGCUGAAAGCAUCUAAGCGGGAAGCCUACCUCAAGAUAAGAUUUCCCUAGGACUUUAUGUCCUCUAAAGAGCCGUUCGAGACUAGGACGUUGAUAGGUUGGAUGUGGAAGCAUAGUGAUAUGUGAAGCUGACCAAUACUAAUUGCUCGUGAGGCUUGACUAU